GUUUCAGCAGCCGCGGUAAGACAGAGGGUGCGAACGUUGUUCGGAAUUACUGGGCGUAAAGAGCGUGUAGGCGGCUCUGCAAGUCGGGCGUGAAAUCCCACGGCUCAACCGUGGAAGUGCACUCGAAACUGCAGAGCUAGAGUCCUGGAGAGGAAGGUGGAAUGCUUGGUGUAGAGGUGAAAUUCGUAGAUAUCAAGCGGAACACCGGUGGCGAAGGCGGCCUUCUGGACAGUGACUGACGCUUAAGCGCGAAAGCGUGGGGAGCAAACAGGAUUAGAAACCCCGGUAGUCC
This 292-nucleotide ribosomal RNA is filed under the name uncultured bacterium. Its description in RNAcentral is "partial 16S ribosomal RNA". It matches the Rfam family "Bacterial small subunit ribosomal RNA", at positions 505 to 796 of the family's 1533-position model. The record is from RNAcentral.